AGUUCCUGCCCUGAGUUUCCUCAGUAAUGGAGUGUGGCCUGGCAGUGUCAAAUGAAGUCAGCACUUUCCAAGUUGCCUUUGGUUAGAGUGUUUGUCAUAGCAACAGAUGAAAACAGAAUUCAGUAAAAUAGAACAGUUGACCAAAUCUGUGUAAGGGGAUCAGUUCCGUCAUGUGAGGAAUACUGUCUUUCCACUUCCUUUCUAUCCACCUCAUCUACUGUAAGAAACAAUUGGCUACUCUUAUGGCUAUUAACAAACCUGAUGGAUAAAAGUCCUUCUCUGCUUCCCUCUCCACCAGAAUGCUUACAUGGGUGGAAAAAGGUUCUGAGAAGUUUAGGCAAAUGAUGAAGAAACUAAGGAUCGUAGAUAUUAGAGGCUUUCCAAAGGUCAGCAUCACUAUCAAGAAUGGAUAUAACGGGACAGAACUCAGGCAUCAAUAUCCAAGUGAGGAAAUCAUUGAAAGUCUAGGGCUAUGGGAUGAGAGAAGGCCAUUGCAUUUUACAACAUACCAUCCAAUCCAAGUCUGCGACAUGUGGUUUUGAACCACUCUGAGUCUGAAUUUCCAGCAAAAUUAAGAAGGCAAUAGAAGAAGUGAUCAGAAGAUGUAAUUAUGGAAGCAACCAUAAAAUGGAAGAUGCAUCAUGGGAAAUACAAAGAACUGACUGCUGGUCAUGGAAAUUGAAAUUGUAGACUUCCUCAGAUUUCCUCCAUUACUUCUUGAUGGCCAAAAACAUGAAGAAAGAAAUCUGAACUCUCUGUGCCAGACUCUGUGUUAGCUCUUGAGAUAUAUUAUCUUCUAAUAUCUUAAGAAGACAUAAAUCAAGAAUGUUAACACAAACCUGCAAAGAUCCAGUACUAACACUGAACACUAGCUGGGUCUCACACACCUGAAUAAAUGCUUCUUCUUCAUUUUUAAUAAG
Molecule: non-coding RNA, 920 nt
Organism: Rattus norvegicus (Norway rat)
Lineage: Eukaryota; Metazoa; Chordata; Mammalia; Rodentia; Muridae
Source: RefSeq, a predicted model, not a curated record